UGGGGAAUUGUUCGCAAUGGGCGCAAGCCUGACGACGCAACGCCGCGUGGAGGACGAAGAUCUUCGGAUCGUAAACUCCUGUCGAGCGGAACGAACGGCUCCCGGUGUAAUACGCCGGGGGAGUGACGGUACCGCGAGAGGAAGCCCCGGCUAACUCCGUGCCAGCAGCCGCGGUAAUACGGGGGGGGCAAGCGUUGUUCGGAAUUACUGGGCGUAAAGGGCGCGUAGGCGGCCGCCUCAGUCGAACGUGAAAUCCCCGGGCUCAACCCGGGAACUGCGUCCGAUACUGGGUGGCUCGAAUCCGGGAGAGGGAUGCGGAAUUCCAGGUGUAGCGGUGAAAUGCGUAGAUAUCUGGAGGAACACCGGUGGCGAAGGCGGCAUCCUGGACCGGUAUUGACGCUGAGGCGCGAAAGCCAGGGGAGCAAACGGG
RNAcentral lists this ribosomal RNA (430 nucleotides) under uncultured Vicinamibacteraceae bacterium. RNAcentral's name for it is "bacterial SSU rRNA". It matches the Rfam family "Bacterial small subunit ribosomal RNA", at positions 355 to 776 of the family's 1533-position model. The record is from RNAcentral. Lineage: Bacteria; Pseudomonadati; Acidobacteriota; Vicinamibacteria; Vicinamibacterales; Vicinamibacteraceae.